AUACGUAGGGUGCAAGCGUUAAUCGGAAUUACUGGGCGUAAAGCGUGCGCAGGCGGUUUUGUAAGACAGAGGGGAAAUCCCCGGGCUCAACCUGGGAACUGCCUUUGUGACUGCAAGGCUAGAGUACGGCAGAGGGGGAUGGAAUUCCGCGUGUAGCAGUGAAAUGCGUAGAUAUGCGGAGGAACACCGAUGGCGAAGGCAAUCCCCUGGGCCUGUACUGACGCUCAUGCACGAAAGCGUGGGGAGCAAACAGGAUUAGAUGCCCUGGUAGUCCACGCCCUAAACGAUGUCAACUGGUUGUUGGGUCUUCAUUGACUCAGUAACGAAGCUAACGCGUGAAGUUGACCGCCUGGGGAGUACGGUCGCGAGACUGAAACUCAAAGGAAUUGACGGGG
Molecule: ribosomal RNA, 395 nt
Filed under: uncultured bacterium
Lineage: Bacteria
Description: partial 16S ribosomal RNA
Rfam family: Bacterial small subunit ribosomal RNA
Source: RNAcentral